CUCCAUUUGGGGCCCUAGCUGCUUUGUGGGGUCUGUGACAUCAGCCCUUGUGAUGAUAAUGGAUGGGCCUCACACAGGGGGCACUCCUUCCUUUGCCAACUCAUACCAGCUUCCAGAGAGGAUUGAAGCUCUUGUUCCCUUAGGGUGGGGGCAGGAUGUGGGCCCAGAAUUGGACCCAAGACAACAGUCCCCCUCCCAGGCUGAACCCACUGCUCAGUGUACCUUCCAAACCCAAGCUAUGACCUUCCUCUCUCCAAAGCUCCAGAAAAGGAAAGGAAUCUGAACAUUGAGAUGCUUUUCUGGCCCUAAACAAUCCUCCCAUUCUCUAGGCUCAAUGAUGGGUCUAUUCCCUCCUGUAAAUGGGUCUCGUAAUCUUCAACUUUUACCUUUGCUUCUAAGGGUAAUUAAUUGGAUCUCCCUCUUGUUCUCCCCACACACUCCCCUCUCUGUUACAAGGCUCAGGUUAAGGUGGCUUUUUUUCUGUUCUAUGAGGUGCUUAUUUUUAAAGCUGGUGGACUAAGGCCCUUCCCUCCCCUGCAAAUCCCUUCUCCAGAGAAGCCCACUAGGGGAAAUGACUUCCACAGACACUGGAAAGGGGCUCAUGACUAUGCCAGCUAGAGGGUUUUUAUUUUUUUAUUUUUUUGGUACUGGGGAUUGAACUCGGGUCCUUCCGCUUGCGCAGCAGGUGGUGAAACCACUGAGCUAAAUCCCCGGCCAGCUAGAGGCUUUUUAGAUCAUCAGUUCUAAGUGACUAGGUCACUCCCCGCCCCCUCCUCCAAGUGUGUUUCCAAAGAUUUAGAGAAGAAGGAGUUUUCAGGGAGCACUCAUAAGAGCAAAGUGGAGGGUUGAGUGUGAUCUGGCUGGUAGACAGAAGAUACAAAGAUGCCAAGGGGACAUAGGACAAAGUAUUCCUAUAGCAUAAAAUUUGAGUAGAACUGAUUGGCUCACCAAUUGAAAACUGUAACAAAAAACCCAACUCAGAAAAGGACAUUUACUGACUAAACAACCAAAGAAGUAUUAUGUACCUGCCUAUCAGACUGACAAAAUUUUUAAAGUCUGAUGUUAACAAUCAUUGGUGAGGAUGUGAAGAAACAAGACCUCAUGGUGAUGAGAAGAUAAAGAAAUACAACUACUUUAGAAAGCCAUUUGGUGAUGCAGAUCCAAAUGCCUUAUCUGUAAUUCAGAAACCCAGAAAGCUCUGAAAUCUGAAAGUUCUUUCUUAACUUAUUUGGUGGCAAAACUUGACCUGAUGUAAAAAUACAUGUCUUCAUUUAUCCCACUUAAUGUGGAUAUUUAUACUUCUCACCCCAGAAAAAAUAAUAUAUUUGAUUAUGGGCUACUUCUCAAAGCCUGCUGAGAUUAUUCUAUAUGGCACAUACGCAUAUUACCUUUCCAAAAUCCAAAAAAUUCUUAACACAUCUGACCCCAAGGACUUUGAACAACAUAUUGUAGACCUGAGUCUAGUAAAGUCAUACAUCUGGACAUCCUAAGACUCAACCAUUCUGCUCCUAAGGCUAUUCUUUAGAGAAAUCUAUCCAUAUGUGCACAAGGAGACAUAUCUAAGCAUGUUAAUUAUAGCAUUAUUUGUAAUGAUAAAAAUUAGAAAUAACCUAAAUGUUCAUCAAUGGGAGAAUAAAUUGUGAUAUAUUAACCCAGUAGAAUGCUAAAUAGUUAAGGUAUUGAUACAUGGGUGAGCAUUUUUAAGUCUAAAGAGUUGUUGAAUAAAAAAGAUGUUGAAGAAUGAUAGAUAACAG
Heterocephalus glaber (naked mole-rat) is the source of this 1754-nucleotide long non-coding RNA. Lineage: Eukaryota; Metazoa; Chordata; Mammalia; Rodentia; Bathyergidae. The record is from Ensembl.